GAGCCUAUGCUGCUGCUCUGUUUUCUGUUGAAACAAAGGUUGGCGGCAGCGGAUUUGAAGCAGCUAACAGAACACAAUCUUCCUGAUCUCCGGUAACGUGUUCCAUUUUGGCCCGAUUAGUAGAUACACUUAAGGAUCCAUUCUUUUAUGGAUAAAUAUCAUAAAAAAAUUAGUUAACUUUCUCAUCGAUCAAUUUUUUUAUAUUAUCAUAUUUUUCAAAAUAGAUAAGUUACUUUCUUAUAGAUAGUAUUUAUCUAUGAAACAGAAAAAAAAUUUAUUCACCGAGGAGGUGGCUAAAUUUUUUUCCUAUCAACCAGU
RNAcentral lists this long non-coding RNA (318 nucleotides) under Elaeis guineensis (African oil palm). RNAcentral's name for it is "long non-coding RNA (EGUI_LNC011102)". The record is from RNAcentral. Lineage: Eukaryota; Viridiplantae; Streptophyta; Magnoliopsida; Arecales; Arecaceae.